CAGCGAUGAUUUGGUUGGGCCGGAUUGUGUGAGGGUUGUCCCGUGGACUUGUGGAGCCUUGUGGAGGAAUAAUCUUCAGCGAUGGAGUGAUACGGCCUUGUUCAGAGUCACCGCCGAGCUGCUAUCAGCAAACGCCACGCUGACCUUUGCACCCACUCAGCUUCAGCUUUACAGCAGCUGUACAGACAGUGGCAGCCUCCAACCCAGUGGGCUUGCACUGACCGUAUCUGCUGAUACUGCGUGGGAAGCUGGCCGAGGAUGGAAUAUUGAAAGAGGACAUCUGUUUGGGCACCAAGGCCACCACGCAGCGCUCAGACACCUGGAAGACAAAGUUGUGCGCUCCCUCCACCUCCCCAUCACCACCCAGUCUUUAUGGAUUCAUCAGCCUCAUACGCCUCAUCAGUCAGCAGCCUCAGAGUCAUCA
Epinephelus fuscoguttatus (brown-marbled grouper) is the source of this 424-nucleotide long non-coding RNA. RefSeq lists it as uncharacterized. The record is from RefSeq and is a predicted model, not a curated record. The transcript is spliced from 4 exons. NCBI's taxonomy places the organism in Eukaryota, Metazoa, Chordata, Actinopteri, Perciformes, Serranidae.